UACGUAGGGGGCAAGCGUUGUCCGGAUUUAUUGGGCGUAAAGGGCGCGUAGGCGGUCGUGACAAGUCACUUGUGAAAUCUCCGGGCUUAACUCGGAACGGUCAAGUGAUACUGUCGGACUAGAGUACAGAAGGGGCAACUGGAAUUCUCGGUGUAGCGGUGAAAUGCGUAGAUAUCGAGAGGAACACCUGCGGCGAAGGCGGGUUGCUGGGCUGAUACUGACGCUGAGGCGCGAAAGCCAGGGGAGCGAACGGGG
Molecule: ribosomal RNA, 255 nt
Filed under: uncultured bacterium
Lineage: Bacteria
Description: partial 16S ribosomal RNA
Rfam family: Bacterial small subunit ribosomal RNA
Source: RNAcentral